GACAGAGGGUGCAAACGUUGUUCGGAAUUACUGGGCGUAAAGCGCGUGUAGGCGGUUAUGCAAGUCGGGUGUGAAAGCCCGGAGCUCAACUCCGGAAGUGCAUUCGAUACUGCGUAGCUAGAGUACUGGAGAGGAUGGUGGAACUCUCGGUGUAGAGGUGAAAUUCGUAGAUAUCGAGAAGAACACCGGUGGCGAAGGCGGCGACCUGGUCCGUGACUGACGCUGAGGCGCGAGAGCGUGGGGAGCAAACAGG
Molecule: ribosomal RNA, 253 nt
Filed under: uncultured bacterium
Lineage: Bacteria
Description: partial 16S ribosomal RNA
Rfam family: Bacterial small subunit ribosomal RNA
Source: RNAcentral